Bombyx mori (domestic silkworm) is the source of this 96-nucleotide non-coding RNA. Lineage: Eukaryota; Metazoa; Arthropoda; Insecta; Lepidoptera; Bombycidae. The record is from RefSeq and is marked provisional.
CGGGUGUCACGUCGAGGAAAGAGAGAGAGAUAGAGAGGUACUACGGGUGUCAUUUUUAUUUGUUCUUUUUUAUUGCUUAGAUGGGGGACGAGCUCA